Molecule: ribosomal RNA, 729 nt
Filed under: Pseudomonas sp.
Lineage: Bacteria; Pseudomonadati; Pseudomonadota; Gammaproteobacteria; Pseudomonadales; Pseudomonadaceae
Description: bacterial SSU rRNA
Rfam family: Bacterial small subunit ribosomal RNA
Source: RNAcentral
CGGACGGGUGAGUAAUGCCUAGGAAUCUGCCUGGUAGUGGGGGAUAACGUUCGGAAACGGACGCUAAUACCGCAUACGUCCUACGGGAGAAAGCAGGGGACCUUCGGGCCUUGCGCUAUCAGAUGAGCCUAGGUCGGAUUAGCUAGUUGGUGAGGUAAUGGCUCACCAAGGCGACGAUCCGUAACUGGUCUGAGAGGAUGAUCAGUCACACUGGAACUGAGACACGGUCCAGACUCCUACGGGAGGCAGCAGUGGGGAAUAUUGGACAAUGGGCGAAAGCCUGAUCCAGCCAUGCCGCGUGUGUGAAGAAGGUCUUCGGAUUGUAAAGCACUUUAAGUUGGGAGGAAGGGUUGUAGAUUAAUACUCUGCAAUUUUGACGUUACCGACAGAAUAAGCACCGGCUAACUCUGUGCCAGCAGCCGCGGUAAUACAGAGGGUGCAAGCGUUAAUCGGAAUUACUGGGCGUAAAGCGCGCGUAGGUGGUUUGUUAAGUUGGAUGUGAAAUCCCCGGGCUCAACCUGGGAACUGCAUUCAAAACUGACUGACUAGAGUAUGGUAGAGGGUGGUGGAAUUUCCUGUGUAGCGGUGAAAUGCGUAGAUAUAGGAAGGAACACCAGUGGCGAAGGCGACCACCUGGACUAAUACUGACACUGAGGUGCGAAAGCGUGGGGAGCAAACAGGAUUAGAUACCCUGGUAGUCCACGCCGUAAACGAUGUCAACUAGCCGUU